CGCUAUCCAUCCUGAGUUC
Molecule: small nuclear RNA, 19 nt
Filed under: Arabidopsis thaliana (thale cress)
Lineage: Eukaryota; Viridiplantae; Streptophyta; Magnoliopsida; Brassicales; Brassicaceae
Description: snRNA_08728
Source: RNAcentral